AGAGUUUGAUCCUGGCUCAGAACGAACGCUGGCGGCGUGCUUAACACAUGCAAGUCGAGUGCGCGUGCCGUAGCAAUACGGCAUGGCGCACGGCGCACGGGUGCGUAACACGUGGGCAAUCUGCCCUCCGGUGGGGAAUAACCCCGCGAAAGCGGGGCUAAUUCCGCAUAACAUUCCCUGGACUCCGGUUCGGGGAUUCAAAGCAGUGAUGCGCCGGAGGAGGAGCCCGCGCCCGAUUAGCUAGUUGGUGAGGUAACGGCUCACCAAGGCAAUGAUCGGUAGCUGGUCUGAGAGGAUGGCCAGCCACACUGGGACUGAGACACGGUCCAGACUCCUACGGGAGGCAGCAGUGGGGAAUCUUGCGCAAUGGGCGAAAGCCUGACGCAGCGACGCCGCGUGGGGGAUGAAGCUUUUCGGAGUGUAAACCCCUUUCGACUGGGACGAAUGCCCGCAAGGGAGUGACGGUACCGGUAGAAGAAGCCCCGGCUAACUACGUGCCAGCAGCCGCGGUAAGACGUAGGGGGCCAGCGUUGUUCGGAAUUACUGGGUGUAAAGGGUUCGUAGGCGGUGUGGCAAGUCGGGAGUGAAAUUUCUGGGCUUAACCCAGAAGCUGCUUCCGAAACUGCUGUGCUAGAGUGCGGGAGAGGCGCGUGGAAUUGCAGGUGUAGCGGUGAAAUGCGUAGAUAUCUGCAGGAACACCCGUGGCGAAAGCGGCGCGCUGGACCGUUACUGACGCUGAGGAACGAAAGCUAGGGGAGCAAACAGGAUUAGAUACCCUAGUAGUCC
This 786-nucleotide ribosomal RNA is filed under the name uncultured bacterium. Its description in RNAcentral is "bacterial SSU rRNA". It matches the Rfam family "Bacterial small subunit ribosomal RNA", at positions 8 to 796 of the family's 1533-position model. The record is from RNAcentral.